GUGCCAGCAGCCGCGGUAAUACGGGGGGUGCAAGCGUUGUUCGGAAUUAUUGGGCGUAAAGAGCGUGUAGGCGGCUAGACAAGUCAGAUGUGAAAUCCCUGGGCUUAACCCAGGAAGUGCAUUUGAAACUGUCCUGCUAGAGUAAGGGAGAGGAAAGUGGAAUUCCUGGUGUAGAGGUGAAAUUCGUAGAUAUCAGGAGGAACACCGGUGGCGAAGGCGACUUUCUGGCCCUAUACUGACGCUGAGACGCGAAAGCGUGGGUAGCAAACAGGAUUAGAUACCCGCGUAGUCC
This 292-nucleotide ribosomal RNA is filed under the name uncultured bacterium. RNAcentral's name for it is "partial 16S ribosomal RNA". It matches the Rfam family "Bacterial small subunit ribosomal RNA", at positions 505 to 796 of the family's 1533-position model. The record is from RNAcentral.